Megalobrama amblycephala (Wuchang bream) is the source of this 1642-nucleotide RNA transcript. It is a transcript of the gene named BLOC-1 related complex subunit 8, with no coding region annotated. The record is from RefSeq and is a predicted model, not a curated record. The transcript is spliced from 8 exons. Lineage: Eukaryota; Metazoa; Chordata; Actinopteri; Cypriniformes; Xenocyprididae.
UGUUGGGCUGUUGUUCCUACGGAUGAUGUUUUGGGAACACAAUCAUAGGGAAACAGCGGUGCUGUGAUAAUACAGAAGGAAGUUUAUGUCAUACGUUUAUUUUUUUGUAUAUAAUAAUAAAAAUGGAGGAUCAAGAAAUGCAGUUAAAAGUAAAAAGAGUGACUGAUAAAUUCACAGAAAGUAUGUAUGUGUUGGCCAAUGAACCGUCUAUAGCGCUUUAUAGGCUACAAGAGCACGUCAGGAGAUCCCUGCCAGAGCUCGUGCAACAUAAGACAGACAUGCAGAGCUGGGAGGAGCAGAGUCAGGGAGCAAUCUACACUGUUGAAUAUGCAUGCAGCGCGGUUAAAAGCAUGACAAAUAGUAGCCUCUAUUUCAAGAACAUAGAUGGUCUUCUGCGCCAAGCCAUUUCAAUGAAGGAACAGAUGAGCAGCUUGCAAGGACGAAGUGAUGUGAAACCUGCAAUUAAUCCAAAUGAUACACCCACACACACUUCAGUCACACCACCUUGACUCAUGGAAAUCUUUCUUCAAGGGUUUUGUCUGUGUGUGAAACAGGCCAGAGUCUGUCGAAAGUGUCCGGUGUGUCCGUCCGCUCCCACCACCACUGUAGCCAUCCUUAUCGCUAGAGUGAACGUGAGGCCCGUUGGAUGGUUCGACGUAUGGAUUCCAAGGCUGUUUUCAGGGUCGUGGUGGUACAUGGUGUGGGUGUGUUCCCUGCGGAAGUGUUUGGCUGUAUGUGCGGCCCGUAUUAGGGAGUGAAUAACGAUAAGUAGCAGAACGAGAACACCAGAGGAGAGCACGCACACACUGGCUAUGCCGGUCUCGACUUCAAACACCAAUAACAUAUAAAUGGACAUGGCUGAAAAGAGCUUUGGAUCCUGGCAUGCUAAAGGAUGGAGGAGAAAAGCACAGCUCUGGGAUAUAAACUUGAUCACUGAUGAAGACAUGGAUGAAACUAUAUGCCACUUUCACUUGAUGCCACCAUGUCAUAUUGAUGCUACUUUAAAGUAUGGUACGCCAUUUCCGAGUUAAAAAUAAAAAAGUUAAUUCUGAGUCUAAAUACGAAACAAAGUCACACUGAAACGUAAGUUCAGUCAUAUUGUGAGAUGUAAAGUUGCAUCUGCAAGGAGAAAUAUCACAAUUGCGAAAUGUAAUCUGACAAUGUAACAAAGUUAUAUUAUGAGAUUUAAAGUCACAGUUGGGAAAUAUAAAGCUGUAAGUGCAAGAGAAAAAAAUCACAACUGUGAAAUUUAGUCACUUUGUGAGACAAAGUCACAAUUGGGAAAUAUAAAAUUGCAACUGUGGAUAAAAAUAUCACAAUUGCGAGAUUUAAUGUUGCAUCGUGGCAUAUGAAGUCACAUUUAUGAGAUAUAAAGUCACAACUGGAAGAUAUAAAAUCGCAGUUACCACUAUUUUAUUUACUCUUAGAUGGAAAUGGGCUUCCAUACCAAAGAGCCAAAAAGAAAAAGAUGACAUCUUUUUGUAUAAAAGAUGUAAGGAUUGGCGUAUAAUAUUUAUAAGCUGCUUUGGGUGUUUUGGUUGCAGUUUAUACAUAUUUUGCACCAUACAUCUACUUGUUUUAACUAUGGUCUGUAAUUGUGUAUAUUCUGAAUUGAAUAAUUAAAGUUUUUUAGUAUAAUUCA